CAAUGCGUACGAUACGAUGCUAUCACAAGUAAGUCACAAGACUUCCGCUCAAAAAGUGUGACGAGUUGAACGUCGUCGACCGAUAUGACGCCUCACCACGGCAAUGAAUUCGAAAAACGGUUCAGCAGCCGCUCAAGGCCGUUCUCUCUUUCACAGUGUGUUGCAACGGCUGCGGUGAGCCCAACCAUGAAUGCGGUUACAAGGGCCCGCGCCAGUGUGUCGGCGACUAAUUAAGCAUAUUCAAUGUAAGACGAAUAAGAUGAUAGCGUUAGAGGAGUAAAUGGACGCGAAACAUAUUUCCAGGCAGCAAACUGAACCGAGAUACUCAGUAUCCUGCAUGGUAAACACUUUAACUAUAUCUUGAUCCUCCGUCCUUUCAGUAUCCACCCUACACAACUGAUUGUCAAGGUAUACAACAUUAACACCCCCAUUGACAACCACGCCGGCGCAUACAUUGUCUUCAUGCUCACAUUCACCAGUCCUGUAAGCAAGUUGGCCGCCAAAAAUAUCGCGAGACCGUUUUUAUUCAUAGCGUCGAGCAAGGGAGGCACUAAGAUCGAUGGUGAUGUUUGGGAAGAGGUGGGAGAUGGAAUAAUGUGGGUAAGGAGGAGGUAGCCGAGGAGAAAGGUGGUAUUGUAUGCCGCUACCCAAAAUACAUAAGGAGCGUUGGCCUUUAU
This 677-nucleotide small RNA is filed under the name Cryptococcus neoformans H99. Its description in RNAcentral is "Cryptococcus neoformans var. grubii H99 hypothetical RNA". The record is from RNAcentral. Lineage: Eukaryota; Fungi; Basidiomycota; Tremellomycetes; Tremellales; Cryptococcaceae.